RNAcentral lists this small RNA (88 nucleotides) under Flavobacterium hercynium. Its description in RNAcentral is "Flavo-1 RNA". It matches the Rfam family "Flavo-1 RNA". Lineage: Bacteria; Pseudomonadati; Bacteroidota; Flavobacteriia; Flavobacteriales; Flavobacteriaceae. The record is from Rfam by way of RNAcentral.
AUCUAGCCCCGAUUGAAGCGAUAUCCUUUUAUGGCAAUUUCCGUAACUAAUUGUGCCAUAAAAGAUUUAGCGAAAAGCGGGAGUGGAG